UCCGGUUUGUCACCGGCAGUCUCCCAUGAGUCCCCGGCCGGCAUAUAGCCGCCGCUGGCAACAUAGGACGGGGGUUGCGCUCGUUGCGGGACUUAACCCAACAUCUCACGACACGAGCUGACGACAGCCAUGCAGCAUCUGUGGUGCACCCUCGAAGGUCACACGUUUCCGUGCGCUUGCAGCACCAUGUCAAGUCCAGGUAAGGUUCUUCGCGUUGCAUCGAAUUAAAGAACAUGCUCCGCUGCUUGUGCGGGCCCCCGUCAAUUCUUUUGAGUUUUAGCCUUGCGGCCGUACUCCCCAGGCGGAACACUUAUCGCGUUGGCUGCGGCACAGACAGAUUCGACUCCGCCCACACCUAGUGUUCAUCGUUUACAGCGUGGACUAC
RNAcentral lists this unclassified non-coding RNA (385 nucleotides) under uncultured Rubrobacterales bacterium. RNAcentral's name for it is "contains 16S-23S intergenic spacer region". The record is from RNAcentral. Lineage: Bacteria; Bacillati; Actinomycetota; Rubrobacteria; Rubrobacterales.